AUGUAUUUACAUGUCUAACACCUAAGCUUGUUUAAUUUUCACCUAUGUUAUCUUGCAUAUGCAUGAAAUGUUGUAUAUCACUUUUAAAAAUGGUGGCAUCCUUUCUAUGCGACUUGAAUGAUUUAGGUGCUAUGAAUGUAAACGACUAAAGUUUGCGUUUGAUACGUAAAUGCAUAGGAAUUGGGUAGUAUGUAUCUAAAUGUAUCUACUCUAAAUUUAUCACCAUCAUGUGAUAUGUCUUCCUAUUUUUCUUAGUGAACCAUUGCCUUCAAAAUCAAAUACAACAAGGCAGCCACCAACUGAUUAAACCGAACUCUAAUUAAAUUUCAUUAAUUUCAUCAGGCUGAACACUAUUUAAAUUCCAUUGUACUGCUUUUACUUGAGCUUAAACUUCUAACCUCAAUCUUGGUAUGUUGAGUUAGGGCUGAUAUGAAUCCUCAUUAGAUUUGUUAAUUUAAUCCAAUAAAAUUAUUAACCUGAUUUUUCCUCCAGGAUCUUCAUAAAGUUCACUUUGAAUUUCUUUUUGGUUGAGGUCUCGCAUAUCACCGUACAUCUAUUUGGUCAUCCUGUAGUAGGGAGAACAUCAGGUAAACAUUGCACCCAAAUAUUUAUCAAAUAAAAACAACACUAUUUAGUGAAAUGCACCUUAUCAUGCAUAAUUGAAGUGACAUAUAUGUACAAAUUGAAGUUUGGAUGUUAAAUAUGUAAAUACAAGGGAAUUGAGUAGUAUGUAUGCAAAUCUCCCUACUCUUAUAUAUACAUACUUUGUGGAAAUGUUAAGAUUUGAUUGACAUCAUUCAAAAUGAAGUACUUUUAUACGGAUCAUCGAGCUGGCUUAUAAGGUGGAAGAGAUUGGGGAAAUAAGCGGUGAUGCAAAAGAUAUCUAGUGCUCAAAUUGGGAUAGUGAAAUCGUAUUAUAUCUCUUAACCCGAUGACUUCUUAAGGGCCCAGGAUUGGUGAUACUAUUCAUCAUCAUUGGGUAAGAAGUUGCCCUUACUUUCAUAAGCUUCGAACGAUGGUCUAGAUGCGGCCACGUUGUCGUGUAUUACACGUUAGGGCAUCCAAACCAUGUAUUAGGCGGCGACCCAUCCAGACCGUUAUCCGAAUGUGCGGCCGCAACACAAUAUUUGCUCCAUGAUUGGAGCUAGCUGAGAAAGCGGUAACGAGAUUGCGGGGUAAAAAAAUCUUUGAAACUCUCGUAUAUUUGCUCUUUCCACUACACGCUGAUCAACUAACCCUUAUCAUUUUCUUCCUUCCUCCAACCCCGCUUCAUGCAUUUCAAAUCCUCUAAAUCUUGUAAAUCAUCCUAGUGCGAUUUACUAAAUCCAAAUUGAAGGAAAAUGGAGGAGAAAUUGGAUUAAAGAUCAUCUAUGGUUUAAAGAUGUUCUUUUUUUUAAUUUCGCAGGAUUUUGCAUAAAUCUCAUUUAAAUCUUGGUCAAAUUCUGCUACCAUCAAUCCCUAGAAGCUGAGCUCUCAUCAAGGGAAAAGAUUGGGCAUGCGUAGGAAGGCGAAGGUUGUGUUAGGCUGAUCAAUAUGUGUUUGAGCUUUGAGUUUGGGAUGAGGAGUGUCUGCGGCUAGGAAUUUGGAGGACAUCAGAUGCAUCUAUUGUAAUGGUUGGUGCUUCCAUGGAGUUUGGCGGCGAAGGUUCUGAAACUGAUUACUCUCAUUAAUGUCAAUUUCGACGACCCCAACUUCCUCUUCUUGCUGGCUAGAAGGUUUUCAACAAUAGUUCUGACGAGACUGCAUAUUUCCGCAUAUUGCUGAGUAGAGAAAGCAUCACAAACUCUGUUAUGAUUCAACCCUCAUUGAUUUCAUACUCUUUUAAUGCUCAUUCUCCCCCUUUAUUGGAUGUAGCAUCCAUAGCUGCAGGCCGCAUUCUGGUGCUAGAUGCAUAUUUCAGUGUGGUCAUUUUACACGGCAGGAAAAUUGCCCAGUGGCGCAACAUAGGCUACCAAAAUCAGCCAGAGCAUCAGGCGUUUGCAUAGCUUUUGCAAGCCCCACAUGAUGACGUCCAAAUGCUAAUCAGAUAGAGAUUCCCAGUCCCAUGAUUGGUUGUUUGCGAUCAGCAUGGCUCCUAGGUAAUUACUCUAGCCAUAUGAUCAGGAAGAAAAUCCAUUUGAUUCAAUGACUUGCACACGGAGAAAUGCUGAGGAAGGUGCUGUUGGGGCGAAAAUAAAUGGAGAAUUAUGGGAGUCCAGAUCCAGCUUGUGUUGCGAAAGCUAAAUCCCUUUACAGUGAUCUCAAUCUCUAGGCAAAAUUUUCUGAGUACGAGCGAACAAGCUACGGGCAGCUAAACUCCUCCAUAGAAGCUCAGCCAAUCAAACAAGUUCAGGAGGUGGCUGGGAAAAGUAUUGCAUAUCUGUACUACCAAUGUGGAAUGAGAGAGAUCAAAAAAUUUAAGCGAAAAAAUUGAGGAUUUCAUCCAGAUACAAAAGACGUUGAAAGAAGUCUAUAAUGAAACAACUCAUUUACUAUGUGUGUAGACGCUAUAAAAGCACUGGGAUUACAUCACAGUUUGCUAACGAGUUAAUGUUUCAUUUUGAUGAACCAGAGAAAACUGAAAUAUCUAUUGCACGUUACUUCAGAACAAAAUACAAUUAUAAUCUUAUGUAUGAUUCACUGACUUGCGUUAAAGCCGACAGUGAUAGCAAUCCGAUAUACUUGCCAAUUGAGGUAUGGUCGAUGCACGCGUUCGAUAUCUGUAGGUAAUUGUCAUCGACUAUGUGAGCUUCCUUGCAUUUGAUUUUUUGUAAAUUUUAAUAGGUUUUUAUGUUUUUUUGUAGUUAAUGCUAUAUAUUAUGCGCACCGUGCAACAUUCCGAUCUUGAUAUUACUUGGAAUCAAGGUCUGAAUCUGUAUCAAUUCAAGGCAGUGGACCAACACAAGCGAACAACGAUCAUCUCUGUUAUUCCAGCUAUUAAGGAGAAUGUCAGAGGAGGAGCGUGACCACUUUCAGAUUCUGACAGAACUGGUUCAGCUGGAAGUACAAACGGAAGUCGACCCAUUUGGGGCAUUUCGUCCAUUUUUGGUGUUAGUGAGAAAUGUGCAUCAACAAAAUAAAUCUCGUCCAAUAAGUCUGUUAUUGUUCCUUCUCACAAUGUGGAAAGUUCACUCUUUAUGAUCCAUCUAAGAGAGCCUCCAGUCAUCUUGAAGCCUUCAGAAAAUCAAUUGGAGCAGGUGGCUUUGGAGGUUUCCAUUACAAAAUUAUUACUGAAAUCGUACUACGAUAUUGUCAGGAAAAACAUUGAAGAUAUUUUGCCUAAGGCAAUUAUGCACUUCCUGGCUGGUCAUGGUGUGAAGCUUUUGAGCAUUCUUACAAAAUAUUGUGAAGGAGAGCCAUAUGAGGCGCGAACAAGCACGCGCCCUACAAAAGCUAUAUUGAAGUAAAUAUCUGUUAUCUCCGCAAGAAAGAAUGCUUCCAUGAAGCUUUCUGAGAAAUCUGAUAUCUCCGCAGAAGCGAACCGGAAGGAAUCUUUGCAGUUUGUUUGAAAAGAUGUAGAAGGAUCCAUGGCAAUUCAUGCGACCAAAGCUUAUGAUAACUUAUCCAAUGUUUUCUUAUUCAAGGGCUGUUUCUAGCAGUAUUGAAGUCUCUGCUCAGAAUGUUUAAAUCCCUGAAGCCAUGACUGCCAGGACACAUAUGCUGGAGAAUCCAAUCAAAUGCUGAAAUUGCUGUUCUCAUCUCCCGGCUCUCCUUCAUUGGGAGGAAUGGCAUCCAUGUUAGCAUCAUGCCCUUGGUAACUUAAAGACGAACUUUUCACCUGGUUCUGAGCAGAUUUGAAGUUCUAAUGACUCAGGCAACUGUUAAACUCAUUUUUAGAUGUAAUACACAUUUGUAAAUUAAAUUUUGUUUUCUAUGUCAUUAAU
RNA transcript from Phalaenopsis equestris, 3863 nucleotides. It is a transcript of the gene named protein transport protein sec23-1-like, with no coding region annotated. The record is from RefSeq and is a predicted model, not a curated record. The transcript has 16 exons. NCBI's taxonomy places the organism in Eukaryota, Viridiplantae, Streptophyta, Magnoliopsida, Asparagales, Orchidaceae.